This 451-nucleotide ribosomal RNA is filed under the name uncultured bacterium. RNAcentral describes it as "SSU rRNA". It matches the Rfam family "Bacterial small subunit ribosomal RNA", at positions 26 to 518 of the family's 1533-position model. The record is from RNAcentral.
AGGAUGAACGCUGGCGGUCUGCUUAACACAUGCAAGUCGAACGGAGUAGCAAUACUUAGUGGCGGACGGGUGAGUAACGCGUGAGAAUCUACCUUCAGGACGGAGACAACAGUUGGAAACGACUGCUAACCCCCGAUGUACCGAAAGGGCAAAUAUUUAUAGCCUGAAGAAGAGCUCGCGUCCGAUUAGCUAGUUGGAGAGGUAAAAGCUCACCAAGGCGACGAUCGGUAGCUGGUCUGAGAGGACGAUCAGCCACACUGGGACUGAGACACGGCCCAGACUCCUACGGGAGGCAGCAGUGGGGAAUUUUCCGCAAUGGGCGAAAGCCUGACGGAGCAAGACCGCGUGGGGGAAGAAGGGCUCUUGGGUUGUAAAACCCCCUUUUCUCUGGGAAGAACGCAAUGACGGUACCAGAGGAAUCAGCAUCGGCUAACUCCGUGCCAGCAGCCAC